This 745-nucleotide long non-coding RNA is filed under the name Ananas comosus (pineapple). RNAcentral describes it as "long non-coding RNA (ACOM_LNC023434)". The record is from RNAcentral. Lineage: Eukaryota; Viridiplantae; Streptophyta; Magnoliopsida; Poales; Bromeliaceae.
AUGCAGAGCACCUCAUGUUAUCCAUCAGGGCGCGUUUGGUUCGCAUUAUGAAAGGAAACUAGAAAUAAAAAAAUAUCCGAGAAUCUUAUUCCUAUUCAUCCUAUUACUAAGAAUAUGACAUUUCUAUGUUUGAUUCGUACGGUCAUAUUAUUUAAUUAUAUUAUUUAACAUUACAAAAAAAUAUACAAUUUGUUUAUUUAUUUUUUUAAUUAAUUUUAGAUAAUGCUAUCAAAAAUUUCAACAUCUUUUUAGAAAAAAAAGAGAGCGAACAUAGGUUAGAGAAAGAGAGAGCAUAAUUAAAGAAAUAAGAAGAGAAAUAGAGUCGAGGUAGAGGGAACGAGAGAGUUGAGAUUUUAGAAAAAGAGGGAGAGAGAGAGCUUAGUUUAGAGAGAGAAAAAUAAUUAAAGUUUAGAGAGAAAAAGAUAAGUUUAGAGAGAGACAUGAGGUUAGAGUAUAAAAAAAAUAAUACCAACUAGCCGACGGGUAGGGAGAAAGAGAUUGGACAUAUUAUGAUUAUCCCGAUUCAUUAAUAUGAGGAUAUCCACCCCCUCUUAAGGGAAUGAGAUUAGUAUUUUGGGAUGAAUCUUGUUCUCAAGUAAAUUUAAUAUUACCGACUAGAUUAGUUUAGCUAAACAUCGCCAUAUUUUUUUAUUUCUAUUGGAUUACUAGGAAUUUUCAAAAGAUAGCGCGAACCAAACGCACCCCUAAAGUAAUCAAAUUUGAUUCAAUUUGAUGCAUAUGUUGG